GUCCAGUGUUGCAUUAUUGGGCAGUCCA
RNAcentral lists this small RNA (28 nucleotides) under Bombyx mori (domestic silkworm). RNAcentral describes it as "ovarian small RNA-17731". Lineage: Eukaryota; Metazoa; Arthropoda; Insecta; Lepidoptera; Bombycidae. The record is from RNAcentral.